UCGGAGAAUGCCGAAAAGCCGGAUAAGAGUAGGCA
RNAcentral lists this non-coding RNA (35 nucleotides) under unclassified sequences. Its description in RNAcentral is "DUF805b RNA". It matches the Rfam family "DUF805b RNA". Rfam says of the family: Bacteroidetes, Chlorobi (1 example), Proteobacteria. The record is from RNAcentral.